GAAUUCGCCCUUAGAGUUUGAUCCUGGCUCAGGACGAACGCUGGCGGCGUGCUUAACACAUGCAAGUCGAACGGGGUUAAUGUUUUCGGAUAUUAACUUAGUGGCGAACGGGUGAGUAACGCGUGAGGAACCUGCCUUUCAGUGGGGGACAACAGUUGGAAACGACUGCUAAUACCGCAUGAUACUAUUGAGGGACAUCCCUUGAUAGUCAAAGCUUUAUGUGCUGAAAGAUGGCCUCGCGUCUGAUUAGCUAGUUGGAGGGGUAACGGCCCACCAAGGCGACGAUCAGUAGCCGGACUGAGAGGUUGACCGGCCACAUUGGGACUGAGAUACGGCCCAGACUCCUACGGGAGGCAGCAGUGGGGAAUAUUGGGCAAUGGGCGCAAGCCUGACCCAGCAACGCCGCGUGAAGGAAGAAGGCUUUCGGGUUGUAAACUUCUUUUAGCAGGGACGAAGAACGUGACGGUACCUGCAGAAAAAGCAACGGCUAACUACGUGCCAGCAGCCGCGGUAAUACGUAGGUUGCAAGCGUUGUCCGGAAUUACUGGGUGUAAAGGGCGUGUAGGCGGAGAUGCAAGUUGGGAGUGAAAUCCAUGGGCUCAACCCAUGAACUGCUUUCAAAACUGCAUCCCUUGAGUAUCGGAGAGGCAAGCGGAAUUCCUAGUGUAGCGGUGAAAUGCGUAGAUAUUAGGAGGAACACCAGUGGCGAAGGCGGCUUGCUGGACGACAACUGACGCUGAGGCGCGAAAGCGUGGGGAGCAAACAGGAUUAGAUACCCUGGUAGUCCACGCUGUAAACGAUGAAUACUAGGUGUGGGAGGACUGACCCCUUCCGUGCCGCAGUUAACACAAUAAGUAUUCCACCUGGGGAGUACGACCGCAAGGUUGAAACUCAAAGGAAUUGACGGGGGCCCGCACAAGCAGUGGAUUAUGUGGUUUAAUUCGACGCAACGCGAAGAACCUUACCAGGAUUUGACAUCCAACUAACGAAGCAGAGAUGCAUUAGGUGCCCUUCGGGGAAAGUUGAGACAGGUGGUGCAUGGUUGUCGUCAGCUCGUGUCGUGAGAUGUUGGGUUAAGUCCCGCAACGAGCGCAACCCCUAUCUUCAGUAGCCAGCGGUUUGGCCGGGCACUCUGGAGAGACUGCCAGGGAUAACCUGGAGGAAGGUGGGGAUGACGUCAAAUCAUCAUGCCCCUUAUGACUUGGGCUACACACGUGCUACAAUGGCGUAAACAAAGGGAAGCGAGCCUGUGAGGGGGAGCAAAUCCCAAAAAUAACGUCUCAGUUCGGAUUGUAGUCUGCAACUCGACUACAUGAAGCUGGAAUCGCUAGUAAUCGCGAAUCAGCAUGUCGCGGUGAAUACGUUCCCGGGUCUUGCACACACCGCCCGUCA
This 1392-nucleotide ribosomal RNA is filed under the name uncultured bacterium. RNAcentral's name for it is "bacterial SSU rRNA". It matches the Rfam family "Bacterial small subunit ribosomal RNA". The record is from RNAcentral.